AACGAGAAAGGGGAGCAAUCCCUGAGUAAAGUGGCGACCGGGUGAGUAACACGUGACUAACCUGCCUUCGAGUGGGGGAUAACCUCGGGAAACCGGGGCUAAUACCGCAUAAUGCCUUCGGGUUAAAGGAGCAAUUCGCUUGAAGAGGGGGUCGCGGCUGAUUAGCUAGUUGGCGGGGUAACGGCCCACCAAGGCGAUGAUCGGUAGCCGGCCUGAGAGGGCGCACGGCCACACUGGAACUGAAACACGGUCCAGACUCCUACGGGAGGCAGCAGUGGGGAAUUUUGCGCAAUGGGGGAAACCCUGACGCAGCAACGCCGCGUGGAGGAUGAAGUCCCUUGGGACGUAAACUCCUUUCGACCGGGACGAUAAUGACGGUACCGGUGGAAGAAGCCCCGGCUAACUUCGUGCCAGCAGCCGCGGUAAUACGAGGGGGGCGAGCGUUGUUCGGAAUUAUUGGGCGUAAAGGGCGCGUAGGCGGUGCGGUAAGUCACCUGUGAAACCUCUGGGCUCAACCCAGAGCCUGCAGGCGAAACUGCCGUGCUGGAGGGUGGGAGAGGUGCGUGGAAUUCCCGGUGUAGCGGUGAAAAUGCGUAGAUAUCGGGAGGAACACCUGUGGCGAAAGCGGCGCACUGGACCACUUCUGACGCUGAGGCGCGAAAGCUAGG
Molecule: ribosomal RNA, 668 nt
Filed under: uncultured bacterium
Lineage: Bacteria
Description: bacterial SSU rRNA
Rfam family: Bacterial small subunit ribosomal RNA
Source: RNAcentral